RNAcentral lists this ribosomal RNA (208 nucleotides) under Taraxella sp. LKCNHM D.Li LiD-001-003-06. RNAcentral's name for it is "partial 16S ribosomal RNA". The stretch from base 1 to 115 matches the Rfam family "Archaeal large subunit ribosomal RNA", at positions 2599 to 2715 of the family's 2987-position model. The record is from RNAcentral. Lineage: Eukaryota; Metazoa; Arthropoda; Arachnida; Araneae; Salticidae.
UGUUGGAUUAAUAAUCUUUUUUUUGCAAAAAAAAGAAAAGAAGGUCUGUUCGACCUUUAAAUCAUUACAUGAUUUGAGUUCAGACCGGUGUAAGCCAGGUCGGUUUCUAUCUUCUAUAAACUAUUAUACAGUACGAAAGGACCUACAUUAUUUAUAAAAUAUAAAUUUGGCAGACUAUUGCAUUAGAAUUAGAAUCUAAUUAAUCAAA